CUCUAGAGGAAAAUACAAGCACCAGAUAAAGAAACAACACUGUAAGGAGGUGGAAUUGAUGCAUUGACUAUCUGUGGAGAAACCUCAAUUCAAGCUAAAAAUAAAGGGCAGGUGGAAACAUGAAUGUGUUGAAAAGUAGUGGUUACAUCCAGGAAUAGAUGUGAAACAAGCAGAAAACAUAGGCAGAAGAAGCAAAAGCAUGGCUUCUCCAAAGUACAGAGAAUCCCGG
Molecule: non-coding RNA, 229 nt
Organism: Poecilia reticulata (guppy)
Lineage: Eukaryota; Metazoa; Chordata; Actinopteri; Cyprinodontiformes; Poeciliidae
Source: RefSeq, a predicted model, not a curated record